This 382-nucleotide ribosomal RNA is filed under the name uncultured bacterium. RNAcentral's name for it is "bacterial SSU rRNA". It matches the Rfam family "Bacterial small subunit ribosomal RNA", at positions 518 to 898 of the family's 1533-position model. The record is from RNAcentral.
CGGUAAUACGGAGGAUGCAAGCACCUACCGGAAUUAUUGGGCGCGGGGCGUCCGCAGGUGGCAUUACAAGUCUGCUGAAUUAGACGAGGACUCAACUUCUGAGCAGCGGUGGAAACUGGAGAGCUAGAGUACGGUAGGGGUUGAGGGAAUUCCCAGUAUAGCGGUGAAAUGCGUAGAUAUUGGGAAGAACACCAGUGGCGAAGGCGCUCAACUGGGCCGUAACUGACACUGAGGGACGAAAGCUAGGGGAGCGAAAGGGAUUAGAUACCCCCGUAGUCCUAGUCGUAAACGAUGAACACUAGGCGUUGCUUGUAUCGACCCAGGCAGUGCCGUAGCCAACGCGUUAAGUGUUCCGCCUGGGGAGUACGCACGCAAGUGUGAA